UACAGAGGGUGCAAGCGUUAAUCGGAAUUACUGGGCGUAAAGCGUGCGUAGACGGUUGCGUAAGUCAGAUGUGAAAUCCCCGGGCUCAACCUGGGAACUGCAUUUGUGACUGCAUGGCUGGAGUGCGGCAGAGGGGGAUGGAAUUCCGCGUGUAGCAGUGAAAUGCGUAGAUAUGCGGAGGAACACCGAUGGCGAAGGCAAUCCCCUGGGCCUGCACUGACGCUCAUGCACGAAAGCGUGGGGAGCGAACAGG
Molecule: ribosomal RNA, 253 nt
Filed under: uncultured bacterium
Lineage: Bacteria
Description: partial 16S ribosomal RNA
Rfam family: Bacterial small subunit ribosomal RNA
Source: RNAcentral